Molecule: ribosomal RNA, 492 nt
Filed under: uncultured bacterium
Lineage: Bacteria
Description: partial 16S ribosomal RNA
Rfam family: Bacterial small subunit ribosomal RNA
Source: RNAcentral
AGUGAACGCUGGCGGUAGGCCUAACACAUGCAAGUCGAACGGCAGCACAGUAAGAGCUUGCUCUUACGGGUGGCGAGUGGCGGACGGGUGAGGAAUACAUCGGAAUCUACUUUUUCGUGGGGGAUAACGUAGGGAAACUUACGCUAAUACCGCAUACGACCUACGGGUGAAAGCAGGGGAUCUUCGGACCUUGCGCGAUUGAAUGAGCCGAUGUCGGAUUAGCUAGUUGGCGGGGUAAAGGCACACCAAGGCGACGAUCCGUAGCUGGUGUGAGAGGAUGAUCAGCCACACUGGAACUGAGACACGGUCCAGACUCCUACGGGAGGCAGCAGUGGGGAAUAUUGGACAAUGGGCGCAAGCCUGAUCCAUCCAUACCGCGUGGGUGAAGAAGGCCUUCGGGUUGUAAAGCCCUUUUGUUGGGAAAGAAAAGCAGCAGGUUAAUACCCCGCUGUUCUGACGGUACCCAAAGAAUAAGCACCGGCUAACUUCGUG